Molecule: ribosomal RNA, 298 nt
Filed under: Polistes sagittarius
Lineage: Eukaryota; Metazoa; Arthropoda; Insecta; Hymenoptera; Vespidae
Description: partial 16S ribosomal RNA
Source: RNAcentral
AAAAUCAAUAGUUUUUUAAUUGAAAACUUGAAUGAAAGAAUUGAUAAAAUAUAAACUGUCUCAAAUUAAUUAAAUUGAAUUUAAAUUAAAAGUUAAAAUGCUUUUAUUAUUUUAUUAGACGAUAAGACCCUAAGAAUUUAAAGAUUUUAAUUUAUUAAAUAAAUUUUAUGAAUUUUAAUAUUUAAAUUAUAAUUUUUUUAUUGGGAGGGUAAUUAAAUUUUUUAACUUUAAUAUUAUUAUAACACAGAUAAAUGAAUUUUAAUGAAAAUUUUUAUAAUUAAGAGAAUUAAUUACCUUA